Molecule: ribosomal RNA, 742 nt
Filed under: uncultured bacterium
Lineage: Bacteria
Description: bacterial SSU rRNA
Rfam family: Bacterial small subunit ribosomal RNA
Source: RNAcentral
AGAGUUUGAUCCUGGCUCAGAGCGAACGCUGGCGGCAGGCUUAACACAUGCAAGUCGAACGGGCCCUUCGGGGUCAGUGGCAGACGGGUGAGUAACACGUGGGAACGUGCCCUUCGGUUCGGAACAACUCAGGGAAACUUGAGCUAAUACCGGAUACGCCCUUCGGGGGAAAGAUUUAUCGCUGAAGGAUCGGCCCGCGUCUGAUUAGCUAGUUGGUGAGGUAAUGGCUCACCAAGGCGACGAUCAGUAGCUGGUCUGAGAGGAUGAUCAGCCACACUGGGACUGAGACACGGCCCAGACUCCUACGGGAGGCAGCAGUGGGGAAUAUUGGACAAUGGGCGCAAGCCUGAUCCAGCCAUGCCGCGUGAGUGAUGAAGGCCUUAGGGUUGUAAAGCUCUUUCGUCCGGGACGAUAAUGACGGUACCGGAAGAAGAAGCCCCGGCUAACUUCGUGCCAGCAGCCGCGGUAAUACGAAGGGGGCUAGCGUUGCUCGGAAUCACUGGGCGUAAAGGGCGCGUAGGCGGCCAUUCAAGUCAGAGGUGAAAGCCCAAGGCUCAACCUUGGAAUUGCCUUUGAUACUGUUUGGCUUGAGACCGGAAGAGGUAAGUGGAACUGCGAGUGUAGAGGUGAAAUUCGUAGAUAUUCGCAAGAACACCAGUGGCGAAGGCGGCUUACUGGUCCGGUUCUGNNGCUGAGGCGCGAAAGCGUGGGGAGCAAACAGGAUUAGAUACCCUAGUAGUCC